AGUGGCGGACGGGUGAGUAACGCGUGAGCAACCUGCCCUUCGGAGGGGGAUAGUGUCUGGAAACGGACAGUAAUACCGCAUAACGUAUUUUUACCGCAUGAUAGAAAUACCAAAACUGAGGUGCCGAAGGAUGGGCUCGCGUUGGAUUAGAUAGUUGGUGGGGUAACGGCCUACCAAGUCAACGAUCCAUAGCCGGACUGAGAGGUUGAACGGCCACAUUGGGACUGAGACACGGCCCAGACUCCUACGGAAGGCAGCAG
This 260-nucleotide ribosomal RNA is filed under the name uncultured bacterium. RNAcentral describes it as "partial 16S ribosomal RNA". It matches the Rfam family "Bacterial small subunit ribosomal RNA", at positions 94 to 354 of the family's 1533-position model. The record is from RNAcentral.